GAUGAACGCUGGCGGCGUGCCUAAUACAUGCAAGUCGAGCGAACAGACGAGGAGCUUGCUCCUCUGACGUUAGCGGCGGACGUGUGAGUAACACGUGGAUAACCUACCUAUAAGACUGGGAUAACUUCGGGAAACCGGAGCUAAUACCGGAUAAUAUAUUGAACCUCAUGGUUCAAUAGUGAAAGACUGUUUUUCUGUCACUUAUAGAUGGAUCCUCGCCGCAUUAGCUAGUUGGUAAGGUAACGGCUUACAAAGGCAACGAUGCGUAGCCGACCUGAGAGGGGGAUCGGCCACACUGGAACUGAGACACGGUACAGACGACUACGGGAGGCAGCAGUAGGGAAGAUUCCGAAAUGGGCGAAAGCAUGACGGAGCAAAGCCGCGUGAGUGAUGAAGGUCUUCGGAUCGUAAAACUCUGUCAUUAGGGAAGAACAAAUGUGUAAGUAACGAUGCACGUCUUGACGGUAACUAAUCAGAAAGCCACGGCUAACUACGUG
Molecule: ribosomal RNA, 497 nt
Filed under: uncultured bacterium
Lineage: Bacteria
Description: partial 16S ribosomal RNA
Rfam family: Bacterial small subunit ribosomal RNA
Source: RNAcentral